UACGUAGGGGGCGAGCGUUGUCCGGAUUUACUGGGCGUAAAGGGAGCGUAGGCGGACUUUUAAGUGAGAUGUGAAAUACCCGGGCUCAACUUGGGUGCUGCAUUUCAAACUGGAAGUCUAGAGUGCAGGAGAGGAGAAUGGAAUUCCUAGUGUAGCGGUGAAAUGCGUAGAGAUUAGGAAGAACACCAGUGGCGAAGGCGAUUCUCUGGACUGUAACUGACGCUGAGGCUCGAAAGCGUGGGGAGCAAACAGGAUUAGAUACCCUGGUA
RNAcentral lists this ribosomal RNA (269 nucleotides) under uncultured prokaryote. RNAcentral's name for it is "partial 16S ribosomal RNA". It matches the Rfam family "Bacterial small subunit ribosomal RNA", at positions 524 to 792 of the family's 1533-position model. The record is from RNAcentral.